This 497-nucleotide ribosomal RNA is filed under the name uncultured bacterium. RNAcentral describes it as "partial 16S ribosomal RNA". It matches the Rfam family "Bacterial small subunit ribosomal RNA", at positions 28 to 507 of the family's 1533-position model. The record is from RNAcentral.
GAUGAACGCUGGCGGCGUGCCUAAUACAUGCAAGUCGAGCGAACAGAUGAGGAGCUUGCUCCUCUGACGUUAGCGGCGGACGGGUGAGUAACACGUGGAUAACCUACCUAUAAGACUGGGAUAACUUCGGGAAACCGGAGCUACUACCGGAUAAUAUAUUGAACCUCAUGGUUCAAUAGUGAAAGACGGUUUUGCUGUCACUUAUAGAUGGAUCCGCGCCGCAUUAGCUAGUUGGUAAGGUAACGGCUUACCAAGGCAACGAUGCGUAGCCGACCUGAGAGGGUGAUCGGCCACACUGGAACUGAGACACGGUCCAGACUCCUACGGGAGGCAGCAGUAGGGAAUCUUCCGCAAUGGGCGAAGGCCUGACGGAGCAACGCCGCGUGAGUGAUGAAGGUCUUCGGAUCGUAGAACUCUGUUAUUAGGGAAGAACAAAUGUGUAAGUAACUAUGCGCGUCUUGACGGUACCUAAUCAGAAAGCCACGGCUAACUACGUG